CACAUUUUAAAGUCCAACACCCAUGGGGACAGAAAGAGUGGUGCCAGCAGCAUUCCAGCAGCCCAAUGGGAUUCCAAAAGGAGAUUGCAGAAAGAGUAUCAUUCCCUCUGAUACAGUGUUGACGGUGGAUCUAAAUCUAGACCCUAUUGGAGAAACAAUCAGGGGCAUCUGAGCAAAUUUAAAUGACUAUUGUACUAGAGACCAUGCGUGCCCUCCCACAUCCGGUUCCCAUCUCCUUCCCAGCACCCAGGAAGACUGCAGCUCCCAGGUGCCUUGAAGCCAGGCAGAGCCAUAUGACCAGUUCCAGCCAAUGAAAUGUGAGCAGGAAUGAAAAGAGCCACUUUCUGGACAAGCUUGUAUGACACCUCCACACCUUCCUUUUCUCUUCUGAACAAACUUGGAAGCCACAUAUGAGGAUGACAGAGCUACAGGAUGGAAACGACCUGCAUCCCCGAGUCAUUGUUUAGAGGAGCUGUCUGACCCUCCAGAGUCGCCCAAUUCACAGUGGAUAUACUGUGAGUAAAAAAGAAAUAUUUCUUGCAUGAAAUAACUGAAAUUUCACGAUUUAUUUACUACUACAGAAAUGCAAAGCCUGUCCUUGCUAAUAUAUAGAAUAUACAGUGGGCAAAAGAUAGAGCUGGUUCUUGAAAUCUAUACUUGCCUGACUCCAAAGACCCAGCUCUUUCCAAUCUGCUGGACUGCCUCUAAUAAGCAAUGUAAAACCGCCGAUGAUCCGUGGUGACGGGGACCCUACCGGCCCUACAAACACGGAAUAGAAAAGAUAGCAUCUUUAACUCAGCCUCGUGAUUGUAGGGUAGGUGGGCUUUGAUUGGGGUCUUGAAAUGAAAGGUGAGGAAGGCAGGGAGCUAUCAAUAAACAGAAAAGGAAGCUGUAUAAAACCAGGCCUUCGAGGUGGUACGAGAAUGGCCCGUUUGAGGAGGAGAUACAUACGUUGGGAAACCGCAGAAUGCAAGAUGAGAGUGCAAGAGGAGCCGAUAUUUCCUUCAGAAUCUCAAUGCCAGACUGAGGAACUUGGCUUUAGGACAGCGGGAAAUGGUGGAGAAAGCACUGGACCAAGAGUCAAGAACACUGAAUUUUUCAUGCUCUUGUCAGUAGCUUCAUCUCUGUUGGCCAUAAGCACCUUCUUUUUAAAGUGUGGAGCAAAUCCCGAAUAAUCGCCAAGAUCCUUUCCAGUUCCACGUUUCUUCAAGUCUAAAUCUCACAGUUCCUUUGUGUGGAUUCAUUAGUGGGUCUCUUGAAGGAAUAUUAGAAGCAAUGACAUUUGAUAAUCAUCAGCUUUUUAAUGCAGUGGCUGAUAGUGAUCUAGAAUUAGAGAUGUUCCUGUACUUAGACCAGGACAUACAAAUAUUUUUACACUGAUUUUGCCACAAGGGGCAAUGUCAGAGAAAUGAUUCUGCUGCUGUAAGGAUAGAUGUCAACCCGUCUAUAGGCUAAACUGAAUAACUAUUUUUUUCCCAUUUCAAGUAGGUUCUGCCAUCAUCACCUUCUGUUGGGCAAAGUUUAUUGUCACCAAUUUCCAGGAACUCGAUCACCAGGUCCUCAGUCCUCCCUUAUUUCCAUCCCUCUCCAAAGCAUGCCCUCUUCCAAACUGCUCUGUUCAGAAGCAGUGAGAAAGGUAGCAUAUACGACUGCAUAUGAGCAUAGGCAUACAUUGACUGUCCUAUAAAUGCUAGCAAUCUGUUGAACACUAAAGAUUAUAUAAAUCUUAGCAGCUUUACUGAUGCUUCAUACACAAGCAGCUGUUGUUUCUUGGUUGCCUGAUUAAAUAUGCUGCAAAAUUUCUCCCAAGGAAAUCGCACCAAAGUUGAUUCCAGCAAAUCCUUCAUAACAUCUCUGCUAGCAACUUCAGUUUCUAAGCAAUUCAAAGAAAAGACCCAAUCAAUAGCAAUUCUUUCAAGGGGGCUGCUCUUUCUCCUCUCAAGACAAGGCAUUUAUAACACCAGACCAAGUGUUCUAGUCUUGACUCUGCCAUUAACCAGCAGUCACUCAACAUUUCUAAGAUGACAUUUUAACCAUUUCAGAGAGAAAUAGUGUAUGACUAUUUCAAAAAGACAUUAUGUGGAUUGAAAUGUCUUUUUGACAAUAUGUCCCCCUCUGUAUAUCUGUAUCUGUUUCUCUAUCAUAUAUAUGCAUAGAUGUAUAUAUAUGUGUGUGUGUAUAUAUAUAUCAAUAAGUUGAAAAGUUAUGAGCUACAAAUUAAGGGACAAAGUCAGAAAAAUAUCCCUAGUCAAGCCUAAAGCUAUCAAAUAUCAGUAUUACAUUCAUAAAAUUAACUGUCUGUAAAAUAUUCACUGAGGAAAUAAAUCAAAAGUCUACCUAAAAUAUGAUUUGCAAGAGUCUUGUUCCCAAGAGUGGGGGUCUGUCUAAGAAAGCGUCUGAGGAGCCUCCCUGACGCCCAGGGUUGGAGUCACCCUCACAUCUCAGUUGAGAUGUCACUUCCUCCAAGACUUACCCAACUCCCCUCAGUCCGGAUCACAUGCCUUUUCUUUAUGCUUCUGUGGUCCUCAGUAGUUACCAUUGUCAUGUUUGUUUGAUUUUCCAUUAAAUUUUAAGAAAUGAGCCUGUCUGUCUUGAUCAUUGUGUUCUUAGCAGUUAGCACAGGGC
Molecule: long non-coding RNA, 2625 nt
Organism: Equus caballus (horse)
Lineage: Eukaryota; Metazoa; Chordata; Mammalia; Perissodactyla; Equidae
Source: Ensembl